Molecule: long non-coding RNA, 477 nt
Organism: Myotis myotis
Lineage: Eukaryota; Metazoa; Chordata; Mammalia; Chiroptera; Vespertilionidae
Exons: 4
Source: RefSeq, a predicted model, not a curated record
UCAGUCCGAAGUGCUGAAGAAGGUGCUGAGGAGCCAAGGUUGCUGGCAAUGGAGAGAAGAGGCUGAAGUGCAGCUUUAGGGGUUACACACAACCUUGAAAAGCCAUUUCUCAGACUUCCUUGUAGCCAGAUGUGGCCAUAUGACUACGCUUCAGCCAGUCAGAUGCAAGGCCAAAGAUGCUCUAAAUGAUUUCAGUCUCUAAGCUGUUGAGACCUGCUUUGUGGACCGUCAGGUGGCUGGAUUUGUAAAUGUUCAAUGGUUUCCAGUGCACGUGUCUGUGAGUGCAAAGCAGAGGGCAAGAAGAUGACCAUUUAGCUCUUCAUCCUAUGGUGAAAAACAAAUUCUCUCUCCACCAUCCAGAAUGCCUGAUGCUGCUGGAAGAUAGAGUUAAACUUGCAUUUUGCCUCUAGGACAGUGGUUCUCAACCUCCCUAAUGCCUCGACCCUUUAAUACAGUUCUUCAUGUUGUGGUGACCCC